UACGUAGGGUGCGAGCGUUGUCCGGAAUUAUUGGGCGUAAAGAGCUCGUAGGCGGUGUGUCGCGUCGGCCGUGAAAACCUGCAGCUUAACUGUGGGCGUGCGGUCGAUACGGGCAUCACUGGAGUUCGGCAGGGGAGACUGGAAUUCCUGGUGUAGCGGUAAAAUGCGCAGAUAUCAGGAGGAACACCGGUGGCGAAGGCGGGUCUCUGGGCCGAUACUGACGCUGAGGAGCGAAAGCGUGGGGAGCGAACAGG
RNAcentral lists this ribosomal RNA (254 nucleotides) under uncultured bacterium. RNAcentral describes it as "partial 16S ribosomal RNA". It matches the Rfam family "Bacterial small subunit ribosomal RNA", at positions 524 to 776 of the family's 1533-position model. The record is from RNAcentral.